RNAcentral lists this non-coding RNA (101 nucleotides) under human gut metagenome. Its description in RNAcentral is "SAM riboswitch (S box leader)". It matches the Rfam family "SAM riboswitch aptamer (S box leader)". Rfam says of the family: The SAM riboswitch is found upstream of a number of genes which code for proteins involved in methionine or cysteine biosynthesis in Gram-positive bacteria. The SAM riboswitch acts at the level of transcription termination control. The record is from RNAcentral.
GCUCAUCAAGAGUAGUGGAGGGACUGGCCCAAUGAAGCUGCGGCAACCAUUGAAUCAUUCAAAACGGUGCCAAAUCCUGCAGAAUAGUCUGUAAGAUGAGA